RNAcentral lists this ribosomal RNA (497 nucleotides) under uncultured bacterium. Its description in RNAcentral is "partial 16S ribosomal RNA". It matches the Rfam family "Bacterial small subunit ribosomal RNA", at positions 28 to 507 of the family's 1533-position model. The record is from RNAcentral.
GACGAACGCUGGCGGCGUGCCUAAUACAUGCAAGUUGAGCGCUGAAGGUUGGUACUUGUACCAACUGGAUGAGCAGCGAACGGGUGAGUAACGCGUGGGGAAUCUGCCUUUGAGCGGGGGACAACAUUUGGAAACGAAUGCUAAUACCGCAUAAAAACUUUAAACACAAGUUUUAAGUUUGAAAGAUGCAAUUGCAUCACUCAAAGAUGAUCCCGCGUUGUAUUAGCUAGUUGGUGAGGUAAAGGCUCACCAAGGCGAUGAUACAUAGCCGACCUGAGAGGGUGAUCGGCCACAUUGGGACUGAGACACGGCCCAAACUCAUACGGGAGGCAGCAGUAGGGAAUCUUCGGCAAUGGACGAAAGUCUGACCGAGCAACGCCGAGUGAGUGAAGAAGGUUUUCGGAUCGUAAAACUCUGUUGGUAGAGAAGAACGUUGGUGAGAGUGGAAAGCUCAUCAAGUGACGGUAACUACCCAGAAAGGGACGGCUAACUACGUG